Molecule: ribosomal RNA, 196 nt
Filed under: uncultured bacterium
Lineage: Bacteria
Description: partial 16S ribosomal RNA
Rfam family: Bacterial small subunit ribosomal RNA
Source: RNAcentral
UGGAGUCUGCAACUCGACUCCAUGAAGCUGGAUUCGCUAGUAAUCGCGCAUCAGCCAUGGCGCGGUGAAUACGUUCCCGGGCCUUGUACACACCGCCCGUCAAGCCAUGGGAGUCGGGAGUGCCUGAAGUUCGUGACCGUCACAGGAGCGACCUAAGGCAAGACCGAUGACUGGGGCUAAGUCGUAACAAGGUAUC